UCCCUAUGGGGUGCAGCAGGCGCGAAACCUCCACAAUGCGCGAAAGCGUGAUGGGGUUAGCCCGAGUGCUAUCCGAAAAGGAUGGCUUUUCCUUGGUGUAAAAACCCAUGGGAAUAAAGGGGGGGCAAGACUGGUGUCAGCCGCCGCGGUAAUACCAGCUCCCUGAGUGGUAAGGACGAUUAUUUGGCUUAAAGCGUCCGUAGCCGGCUUAGUGAGUCUUUUGUUAAAUCCAAUGAUUUAAUCAUUGAACUGCAAGAGAUACUGCUAUGCUAGAGGACGGGAGAGGUCGACGGUACUUUCGGGGUAGGGGUGAAAUCCUAUAAUCCCGGGAGGACCACCAGUGGCGAAGGCUGUCGACUAGAACGCGCUCGACGGUGAGGGACGAAAGCUGGGGGAGCGAACCGGAUUAGAUACCCGGGUAGUCCCAGCUGUAAACGAUGCAGGCUAGGUGUUGGCGCGGCUACGUGCCGCUCCAGUGCCGCAGGGAAGCCGUUAAGCCUGCCGCCUGGGAAGUACGGCCGCAAGGCUGAAACUUAAAGGAAUUGGCGGGGGAGCACCACAAGGUGUGAAGCUUGCGGUUUAAUUGGAUUCAACGCCGGAA
RNAcentral lists this ribosomal RNA (601 nucleotides) under uncultured archaeon. RNAcentral describes it as "bacterial SSU rRNA". It matches the Rfam family "Archaeal small subunit ribosomal RNA", at positions 319 to 923 of the family's 1478-position model. The record is from RNAcentral.